This 557-nucleotide ribosomal RNA is filed under the name Prorocentrum triestinum. RNAcentral describes it as "partial large subunit ribosomal RNA". It matches the Rfam family "Eukaryotic large subunit ribosomal RNA", at positions 96 to 626 of the family's 3401-position model. The record is from RNAcentral. Lineage: Eukaryota; Dinophyceae; Prorocentrales; Prorocentraceae.
AACAGGGAUCAGCUCAGCAUGGAAAUUGGGGCCUUGGCCUUGAAUUGUAGUCUCGAGAUGUAUUGCCAACGGAGGCGCAGAUGUAAGCCUCUUGGAAAAGAGCAUCAACGAGGGUGAGAGUCCCGUUUGUCAUCUGCAGACCCCCGUGCACGGCGUACCUUCCAAGAGUCGCGUUCCUCGGAAUUGGAGCGUAAAUUGGGUGGUAAAUUUCAUCUGAAGCUAAAUAUUGGUUCGAGACCGAUAGCAAACAAGUACCAUGAGGGAAAGGUGAAAAGGACUUUGAAAAGAGAGUUAAAAGUGCCUGAAAUUGCUGAAAGGGAAGCGAAUGGAACCAGUGCGCUUGGUGAGAUUGUCACAUGGCUUCCAUGUGGUGGUUCUUGCCUUGUGUGUCAUUGCCAGUUUGCAUUCGAGGAAAACUCCAGAGACAUGGUAGCCUGGCUCCGGCUGGGUGAAUGUGUCUGGUAGAACUCAUUUGCGGACUGUUUUCUGUGUCUGGUUGCAGUGCACUGUGCCAUCUGGGGGUGGCUGGAGAGGGAGUUUACUCCACUUCUUUGGCU